Tripterygium wilfordii is the source of this 1965-nucleotide long non-coding RNA. RefSeq lists it as uncharacterized. Lineage: Eukaryota; Viridiplantae; Streptophyta; Magnoliopsida; Celastrales; Celastraceae. The transcript has 2 exons. The record is from RefSeq and is a predicted model, not a curated record.
CAAAGCUCAUAAACUAUAUUGCAUGUCCGGAAAUGGACAAAUAGUACAGUUGCAUGACUGAGUACAUAUGUUCCAUAGACCAAGCCCAAUAACAUAACUGUGAGGCAUCAAGAACAGAAUGCACCUUUUUUAUUCACGCCUAAUGGGAAUAAUGCCAUGAAAUCAAGAAAUCAUUGAAGCAAAUCAGAUACGAUUGAAUCUAAGCAUAUGGCGGGUCAAUUUGGUCAAACAAUUUUUUUUCCAAAACAAAGAAAAUGUAAAUGCACAUAAUUGCCCGGAAACCAAGGCCACAACCACAAAUUAAAUAAGUUGUUAGCAAAUCAAUGAUGACCCCAUAAUAUAAAUCACAAGCUCUAGUUGAAUGAUAAAAGAGUACAUAAAGAAAUUGCGUCUAAACUUCAAUAUAAUUGAGCAAUCAUCAUCAUCAUCAUCCUCCUUUAUCCCAAAACAAUUUGGCGUCCAUUAAGUAACUAGUUGGGAGGACGUGCAAUGUGCGGGAGGUGUCAAUAAAAAUACAAAAUUUAAAUUUUAACAAAUACUAUAUAUAAAGUUAUUUUUUCAAUGUAAAUGUACAUGUGUGUGUGUAUAUAUAUAUAUAUAUUUAUAUAUUAUAGUAAUAGAAUUUUAAUCAAGUUAGUACUACCAUAUAUAUGUUUAAAGAGUUCAAAUAUAAUUACCGUUCAUAUUAGUAUAUUACAUAGAUUUUUAAUUUUCUAAUACAAAACUUUUAUUGGCUACCGCCACUUGGCGCGACGCAUAAGUUCUAAAUGUUUCAGCUUUUAAGUAUUUUAUAUAGAAAUGAUGCCAAAAAGUUCAAACUUCAGAAGUGGAAACAAGAUCUUUUCACCAGCUAUAUGUCUGUGAAGCUAUCAAAAUCAGACUCUAAUGAAUUGAUAAUCCUACAAGUCCUUUCUUCCAGAUAAAUAAUGGACAUAGGUACAAAAAUUUGUUAACAAAUAAUAAUUUGAUGUUCAAGCCAUUGAUCCAGCUGCUUCUGUUGACUAUGCAGUCACAAACAAAUAAACCCAACAUUGUAAUUUUGAUCAUUUUAUGAUUUAUAAAUAAAACAACAGCACUCUUUAUGUAUUGCUGCAGUGUGUGGCUUGGUCAUAAGAUGUUCGGGUAGCUGCAGAUAACAUGGUUUGAAUUCUGCAUAUGGCAUUACUUUUCAGUGUUUUUUUCAUUGAUCAUUUCAACUUCCCGGAUGAGAUUUAUCAUUUGUCAAAAGCAUGGAGAUAUGGCGAAGCCGCAACUAGCAUGCUAGUUGGUUUUAAUGUUCAUAUCCUCAGACAGGUUUUAUGUUCUUGUCAAAGGGUGACCCAAGUGAAUGACAUACAAAAAAUUUGUUGACCUAUAUAGCAUUCAGAGACAAGCAGCACGACCACUAGAAGAGAAGGUGCAAUAGAACCCAAAUUACUUAUUACGCAGGUAAACUCUAUUCCAUCAUGAUCCAGUAGGGAGAUGAAAAUGAAAGUAGAUUUAGGAUCUUUUCAAUGAACCAAAAGGACCACCCAAGGGUUUUGCCAGCCAAUGAAAAGUCAAAAACGCUAUGCAAGGAAUCUACAUCCAUCUUAAUAACAAAACUUCAACAAAAUAUUCAAUCAUCAAAACUUCCAGAAGAAAAUUCAUGGUACAAAUCACAGGCAAAAAGGAACACAAGGGAAAAGCAUGGUUAGAAGUAAUUGAAAUUCAUAAUUAUGGUCCAAGUGUCCAACUAACACAUAAAGUGUAUUAAAUGUCUUCUAUCACCAUUUCCUAUUUACAUUGAGUUGUUAACUACAUUGACCAUAGGCAUGGACUGCAUGGGUGUGAUUCCCGUGGGUUUCCUCAUGGGGGUUUUGUUUGCUUUUGGCUUGGUUUAAUUAUCUUGUAUCCUUUUGGGUUUAUUCUUGGGGUAUGCCCCUCGUACUUUGUACAAUUUUCCUUUCUUCUAUACAAUGCUCACUCACCAAAAAAAAAAAAAAA